UACAGAGAGUGCAAACGUUAUUCGGAAUUAUUGGGCUUAAAGGGUGCGUAGGCGGUGCGGUAAGUGGGGUGUGAAAUCCCUCGGCUCAACCGAGGAAUUGCGCUUCAUACUGCCGUGCUGGAGGGAGACAGGGGUAAGCGGAACUGAUGGUGGAGCGGUGAAAUGCGUUGAUAUCAUCAGGAACACCGGUGGCGAAAGCGGCUUACUGGGUCUUCUCUGACGCUGAGGCACGAAAGCUAGGGUAGCGAACGGG
RNAcentral lists this ribosomal RNA (253 nucleotides) under uncultured bacterium. RNAcentral's name for it is "partial 16S ribosomal RNA". It matches the Rfam family "Bacterial small subunit ribosomal RNA", at positions 524 to 776 of the family's 1533-position model. The record is from RNAcentral.